This 693-nucleotide long non-coding RNA is filed under the name Ananas comosus (pineapple). RNAcentral describes it as "long non-coding RNA (ACOM_LNC002924)". Lineage: Eukaryota; Viridiplantae; Streptophyta; Magnoliopsida; Poales; Bromeliaceae. The record is from RNAcentral.
CAUCAAUAUGUAACCCAUAUACGUGUGGUAGUUUGAAACACUUACUUGGUGCAUACUUAUAAGGAAAGAUUUUAAAUACUGCUUCUGUAAUUUUAUAUUUUUUAUUUUAGUAUUUUUUAAUUUAAAAUGUAUUAAUUUAGUAUUCUGUCGUUUUAUUUUUAUCUUUUUAUUAUCGAUUUUACUAGUUUUUUUCGUUAAAUCGGUGCUAAAAUUAAAACUAAAGGGUAUAAAAAUGAAUAUUCGAUAAUCCUAGGUGGGAUAUUUAAAGUUUUUUUUUUAUAAUUUAACAAAAUAUUAACAAAAAAAUUGACGAAAAGAAGCCACAUGACACUAACUUGAUACACUUUAAACCAUAGAGUAAGUGAGAAAAUACGAAAUCACAGGAGUGGUAUUUGAAGUUUACCUUUUAUUUUUUACAGGAGAUAUGUGAAAUGACAGUUUUGCCAUCACAAAUAUGUUCCUCAAAAAGUCCUAACUUUUAGAAUCAUACAGAAAUGUUCUCUUAAAAAUCUCCAACGGUCACUUUCUUUCUACCAUUACAUAUAAUAUAAAAGAGGUAAAAAGAAUAAUUUAUCUUAUUCACUAAUCAGGGUUAAGUAUUUUACUUACGGUUAGCUAUAUUUUUCUAACGGAUCCUAACAGUAAGGGUAAUAAUAUUUGCUAUUCGAUAUUUUUAUGAGAAGUUGUACGUAG